UACGUAGGGUGCAGGCGUUAAUCGGAAUUACUGGGCGUAAAGCGUGCGCAGGCGGUCUUUUAAGUCAGAUGUGAAAUCCCCGGGCUUAACCUGGGAACUGCGUUUGAAACUGAAAGGCUAGAGUGUGGCAGAGGGGGGUGGAAUUCCGCGUGUAGCAGUGAAAUGCGUAGAUAUGCGGAGGAACACCGAUGGCGAAGGCAAUCCCCUGGACCUGUACUGGCGCUCAUGCACGAAAGCGUGGGGAGCAAACAGG
This 253-nucleotide ribosomal RNA is filed under the name uncultured bacterium. RNAcentral's name for it is "partial 16S ribosomal RNA". It matches the Rfam family "Bacterial small subunit ribosomal RNA", at positions 524 to 776 of the family's 1533-position model. The record is from RNAcentral.